This 477-nucleotide ribosomal RNA is filed under the name uncultured beta proteobacterium. RNAcentral describes it as "SSU rRNA". It matches the Rfam family "Bacterial small subunit ribosomal RNA", at positions 242 to 736 of the family's 1533-position model. Lineage: Bacteria; Pseudomonadati; Pseudomonadota; Betaproteobacteria. The record is from RNAcentral.
CAGCUAGUUGGUGGGGUAAAGGCCCACCAAGGCGACGAUCCGUAGCUGGUCUGAGAGGAUGAUCAGCCACACUGGAACUGAGACACGGUCCAGACUCCUACGGGAGGCAGCAGUGGGGAAUUUUGGACAAUGGGGGCAACCCUGAUCCAGCCAUUCCGCGUGAGUGAAGAAGGCCUUCGGGUUGUAAAGCUCUUUCGGCAGGGAAGAUUAUGACGGUACCUGCAGAAGCAGCUGCGGCUAACUACGUGCCAGCAGCCGCGGUAAUACGUAGGCAGCAAGCGUUGUUCGGAGUUACUGGGCGUAAAGCGUGCGCAGGCGGCGGCACAAGUCAGGUGUGAAAUCCCCGGGCUUAACCUGGGAAUUGCGCUUGAAACUAGGUCGCUAGAGUGUGGCCGAGGGGGGUGGAAUUCCACGUGUAGCAGUGAAAUGCGUAGAGAUGUGGAGGAACACCGAUGGCGAAGGCAGCCCCCUGGGUCA